UGGGGAAUUUUGGACAAUGGGCGCAAGCCUGAUCCAGCCAUACCGCGUGAGUGAAGAAGGCCUUCGGGUUGUAAAGCUCUUUUACCAGGGACGAUAAUGACGGUACCUGGAGAAUAAGCCCCGGCAAACUUCGUGCCAGCAGCCGCGGUAAUACGAAGGGGGCUAGCGUUGUUCGGAAUUACUGGGCGUAAAGCGCACGUAGGCGGAUUGUUAAGUCAGAGGUGAAAUCCCGGAGCUCAACUUCGGAACUGCCUUUGAUACUGGCAAUCUAGAGUCCGGAAGAGGUUAGUGGAAUUCCCAGUGUAGAGGUGAAAUUCGUAGAUAUUGGGAAGAACACCAGUGGCGAAGGCGGCUAACUGGUCCGGUACUGACGCUGAGGUGCGAAAGCGUGGGGAGCAAACAGGAUUAGAUACCCACGUAGUCCCUGAGCGGGCUGGCAAGGCGCAU
Molecule: ribosomal RNA, 447 nt
Filed under: uncultured bacterium
Lineage: Bacteria
Description: bacterial SSU rRNA
Rfam family: Bacterial small subunit ribosomal RNA
Source: RNAcentral